RNAcentral lists this ribosomal RNA (301 nucleotides) under uncultured bacterium. RNAcentral describes it as "partial 16S ribosomal RNA". It matches the Rfam family "Bacterial small subunit ribosomal RNA", at positions 509 to 809 of the family's 1533-position model. The record is from RNAcentral.
CAGUCGCCGCGGGAAUACGUAGGGUGCGAGCGUUAAUCGGAAUUACUGGGCGUAAAGCGUGCGCAGGCGGUUUUGUAAGACAGGCGUGAAAUCCCCGGGCUCAACCUGGGAAUGGCGCUUGUGACUGCAAAGCUAGAGUGCGGCAGAGGGGGAUGGAAUUCCGCGUGUAGCAGUGAAAUGCGUAGAUAUGCGGAGGAACACCGAUGGCGAAGGCAAUCCCCUGGGCCUGCACUGACGCUCAUGCACGAAAGCGUGGGGAGCAAACAGGAUUAGAUACCCGCGUAGUCCCUGUCUCUUAUAA